Molecule: ribosomal RNA, 465 nt
Filed under: Vreelandella stevensii
Lineage: Bacteria; Pseudomonadati; Pseudomonadota; Gammaproteobacteria; Oceanospirillales; Halomonadaceae
Description: partial 16S ribosomal RNA
Rfam family: Bacterial small subunit ribosomal RNA
Source: RNAcentral
CCUACGGGGGGCAGCAGUGGGGAAUAUUGGACAAUGGGGGGAACCCUGAUCCAGCCAUGCCGCGUGUGUGAAGAAGGCCCUCGGGUUGUAAAGCACUUUCAGUGAGGAAGAACGCCUGGUGGUUAAUACCCAUCAGGAAAGACAUCACUCACAGAAGAAGCACCGGCUAACUCCGUGCCAGCAGCCGCGGUAAUACGGAGGGUGCGAGCGUUAAUCGGAAUUACUGGGCGUAAAGCGCGCGUAGGUGGCUUGAUAAGCCGGUUGUGAAAGCCCCGGGCUCAACCUGGGAACGGCAUCCGGAACUGUCAAGCUAGAGUGCAGGAGAGGAAGGUAGAAUUCCCGGUGUAGCGGUGAAAUGCGUAGAGCUCGGGAGGAAUACCAGUGGCGAAGGCGGCCUUCUGGACUGACACUGACACUGAGGUGCGAAAGCGUGGGUAGCACACAGGAUUAGAUACCCGAGUAGUC